UGGGGAAUAUUGCACAAUGGGCGCAAGCCUGAUGCAGCCAUGCCGCGUGUUUGAAGAAGGCCUUCGGGUUGUAAAGCACUUUCAGCGGGGAGGAAGGCGUUAAGUUUAAUAACCUUGGCGAUUGACGUUACCCGCAGAAGAAGCACCGGCUAACUCCGUGCCAGCAGCCGCGGUAAUACGGAGGGUGCAAGCGUUAAUCGGAAUUACUGGGCGUAAAGCGCACGCAGGCGGUUUGUUAAGUCAGAUGUGAAAUCCCCGGGCUCAACCUGGGAACUGCAUCUGAGACUGGCAAGCUUGAGUCUCGUAGAGGGGGGUAGAAUUCCAGGUGUAGCGGUGAAAUGCGUAGAGAUCUGGAGGAAUACCGGUGGCGAAGGCGGCCCCCUGGACGAAGACUGACGCUCAGGUGCGAAAGCGUGGGGAGCAAACAGG
Molecule: ribosomal RNA, 429 nt
Filed under: Chloroflexota bacterium
Lineage: Bacteria; Bacillati; Chloroflexota
Description: Chloroflexi bacterium partial 16S ribosomal RNA
Rfam family: Bacterial small subunit ribosomal RNA
Source: RNAcentral